CUACGGUGAAUACGUUCCCGGACCUUGCACACACCGCCCGUCAAGCCAUGGGAGCCGGGUGUACCUAAAGUCGGUAACCGUAAGGAGUCGCCUAGGGUAAAACUGGUGACUGGGGCU
RNAcentral lists this ribosomal RNA (117 nucleotides) under uncultured bacterium. Its description in RNAcentral is "partial 16S ribosomal RNA". It matches the Rfam family "Bacterial small subunit ribosomal RNA", at positions 1357 to 1482 of the family's 1533-position model. The record is from RNAcentral.